RNAcentral lists this ribosomal RNA (403 nucleotides) under uncultured bacterium. RNAcentral's name for it is "partial 16S ribosomal RNA". It matches the Rfam family "Bacterial small subunit ribosomal RNA", at positions 30 to 526 of the family's 1533-position model. The record is from RNAcentral.
CUUGAACGCUGGCGGCAGGCCUAACACAUGCAAGUCGAGCGAGCGGCGGACGGGUGAGUAAUGUAUGGGGACUGCCCGAUAGCGGGGGAUCACUACUGGAAACGGUGGCUAAUACCGCAUACUAUCGGAUAACCCAUAUGGGAUUAGCUAGUAGGUGGGGUAAAGGCUCACCUAGGCGACGAUCUCUCGCUGGUCUGAGAGGAUGCUCAGACACACUGGUACUGAGAAACGGCCCAGCAUCCAAGGGAGGAAGCAGUGGGGAAUAGGGCACAAUGGGAGCAAGCCUGAUGCAGCCAUGCCGCGUGUAUGAAGAAGGCCUUAGGGUUGUAAAGUACUUUCAGCGGGGAGGCGUGACCCGCAGAAGAAGCACCGGCUAACUCCGUGCCAGCAGCCGCGGUAAUUC